This 433-nucleotide ribosomal RNA is filed under the name uncultured bacterium. RNAcentral's name for it is "partial 16S ribosomal RNA". It matches the Rfam family "Bacterial small subunit ribosomal RNA", at positions 29 to 507 of the family's 1533-position model. The record is from RNAcentral.
AACGAACGCUGGCGGCAUGCCUAACACAUGCAAGUCGAACGAGACCUUCGGGUCUAGUGGCGCACGGGUGCGUAACGCGUGGGAACCUACCCUUAGGUUCGGAAUAACUCCCCGAAAGGGGUGCUAAUACCGGAUAAUGUCUUCGGACCAAAGAUUUAUCGCCUUUGGAUGGGCCCGCGUUGGAUUAGCUAGUUGGUAGGGUAAAAGCCUACCAAGGCGACGAUCCAUAGCUGGUCUGAGAGGAUGAUCAGCCACACUGGGACUGAGACACGGCCCAGACUCCUACGGGAGGCAGCAGUGGGGAAUAUUGGACAAUGGGCGAAAGCCUGAGCCAGCAAUGCCGCGUGAGUGAUGAAGGCCUUAGGGUUGUAAAGCUCUUUUACCCGGGAUGAUAAUGACAGUACCGGGAGAAUAAGCUCCGGCUAACUCCGUG